This 1460-nucleotide ribosomal RNA is filed under the name Candidatus Omnitrophota bacterium. RNAcentral describes it as "bacterial LSU rRNA". It matches the Rfam family "Bacterial large subunit ribosomal RNA", at positions 1504 to 2925 of the family's 2925-position model. Lineage: Bacteria; Pseudomonadati; Candidatus Omnitrophota. The record is from RNAcentral.
GUACCGGUUUAACUCUGGAGGUCCGCUUGUGGCAAAUCCAUGAGCAACAAGGACCGAAGGAGGAAUACGAGCUCAAUCGCAAGUGCGAGCGAAGUGGUCAAGUCUUUCUUCCAAGAAAAGCCUCUAAGGGAGUUUAUCAGGUGCCCGUACCGUAAACCGACACAGGUAGGCUGGGGGAGCACCCCAAGGCGCGCGAGAGAACCCUCGCUAAGGAACUCGGCAAUUUAACCCCGUAACUUCGGAAGAAGGGGUGCCUGAGUAAGGUAUGGUUAUUUAUAAUUGUGCCUGAAAAGGCCGCAGUGAAAUGGCUCCCGCGACUGUUUAUCAAAAACACAGGGCUCUGCAAACUCGUAAGAGAAAGUAUAGGGCCUGACAAGUGCCCGGUGCCGGAAGGUUAAGAGGAGGUGUCAUCUGUCUUCGGACAGGGCAGCACUGAAUCCAAGCCCUGGCAAACGGCGGCCGUAACUAUAACGGUCCUAAGGUAGCGAAAUUCCUUGUCGGGUAAGUUCCGACCCGCACGAAUCUUGUAACGAUGGAAGCGCUGUCUCGGCAAGUGGCUCGGCGAAUUUGUGAUACCUGCGAAGACGCAGGUUACCUACGGCUAGACGAAAAGACCCCGGAACCUUUACUGUAACUUGUUAUUGAAUUUUAGGAUAAUAUGCGUAGCAUAGGUGGGAGGCUUUGAAGCCUGAACUUCGGUUUGGGUGGAGCCGCCAGUGAAAUACCACUCUUAUUAUUUUGAAAUCCUAACCUGUGUAUGUGAAUCCAUACCAGGGACAGUGACAGGUGGGCAGUUUGACUGGGGCGGUUGCCUCCUAAAAUGUAACGGAGGCGCCCAAAGGUUCCCUCAGGCUGUUUGGCAAUCAGCUGUUGAGUGUAAAGGCAAAAGGGAGCCUGACUGCGAGACCGACAGGUCGAGCAGAAGCGAAAGCUGGGCUUAGUGAUCCGGUGGUUCCAUGUGGAAGGGCCAUCGCUCAGCGGAUAAAAGGUACUCCGGGGAUAACAGGCUGAUCCUGCCCAAGAGUUCAUAUCGACGGCAGGGUUUGGCACCUCGAUGUCGGCUCAUCGCAUCCUGGGGCUGUAGCCGGUCCCAAGGGUUGGUCUGUUCGCCCAUUAAAGCGGUACGUGAGCUGGGUUCAGAACGUCGUGAGACAGUUCGGUCUCUAUCUGCCGUAGGCGUAGGAAACUUGAAAGGAGCUGGCCCUAGUACGAGAGGACCGGGCUGGACGAACCUCUAGUGUACCAGUUAUCCCGCCAGGGGUAAUCGCUGGGUAGCUAUGUUCGGAAGGGAUAACCGCUGAAAGCAUCUAAGUGGGAAGCCCACCUUGAGAUUAGGUUUCCCUCUACUGUGAGAGCAGUAGACUGAAGACCCCAGGUAGACCACCUGGUUGAUAGGCCUCAUGUGUAAGUUCCGUAAGGGAUUAAGCUGAGAGGUACUAAUCGGUCGUGCGACUUGACCC